UUUUUUAUUUUUUUAUUUUUUGCUCGCUCGCCUCACUUUUCUGGGGGGAAAAUUCGUUAAACAGUGAAUACAUUUUUUUCUGGCCAGCUGUUUUAGCUGAGGAAUACACAAAUGAGUGGGAUUUAUUUUUUUUUAUUUUUUUUUGAAUCAGAUCCGAUACCUGACCCUCUGCUGUGGCCAGGACCUGGGCUCAGGAAUCAGACGAAUUCUGAGAAAAAUUGGAACAGUGGAGCUGUGGACAGGCUACUCCUUGAAGGGCAGGAAGGGGAAGAGGGCCUUCAAUGAGCUAUCAAUCUAUGAUGCCGUCACAAAGAGGGGACAAAGGAAAGGUGAAGGAGAGAGGUCUCAUGGCCAAAACUGCCUCUGAGGGAAGAGAGGGACAGCCUCUGUCUCAGCAUAGGUGGAAAAGUAGUGAUAUGACAUGGA
RNAcentral lists this long non-coding RNA (426 nucleotides) under Salmo salar (Atlantic salmon). Its description in RNAcentral is "lncRNA (ENSSSAG00000098349.1, ENSSSAG00000107489.1)". Lineage: Eukaryota; Metazoa; Chordata; Actinopteri; Salmoniformes; Salmonidae. The record is from RNAcentral.